GACGAACGCUGGCGGCGUGCUUAACACAUGCAAGUCGAACGGAAAGGCCCUGCUUUUGUGGGGUGCUCGAGUGGCGAACGGGUGAGUAACACGUGAGUAACCUGCCCUUGACUUUGGGAUAACUUCAGGAAACUGGGGCUAAUACCGGAUAGGAGCUCCUGCUGCAUGGUGGGGGUUGGAAAGUUUCGGCGGUUGGGGAUGGACUCGCGGCUUAUCAGCUUGUUGGUGGGGUAGUGGCUUACCAAGGCUUUGACGGGUAGCCGGCCUGAGAGGGUGACCGGGCACAAUGGGACUGAGAGACGGCCCAGACUGCUACGGGGGGCAGCAGUGGGGAAUAUUGCACAAUGGGCGGAAGCCUGAUGCAGCAACGCCGCGUGCGGGAUGACGGCCUUCGGGUUGUAAACCGCUUUCGCCUGUGACGAAGCGUGAGUGACGGUAAUGGGUAAAGAAGCACCGGCUAACUACGUG
RNAcentral lists this ribosomal RNA (468 nucleotides) under uncultured bacterium. RNAcentral's name for it is "partial 16S ribosomal RNA". It matches the Rfam family "Bacterial small subunit ribosomal RNA", at positions 28 to 507 of the family's 1533-position model. The record is from RNAcentral.